Molecule: ribosomal RNA, 1697 nt
Filed under: Tylochromis polylepis
Lineage: Eukaryota; Metazoa; Chordata; Actinopteri; Cichliformes; Cichlidae
Description: 16S rRNA
Rfam family: Bacterial large subunit ribosomal RNA
Source: RNAcentral
CACCCAACAGCUAGCCCAACCACCAACUCAUAAACCCCCACUUUAUAUAAACCCAAACACACUACCCCAAACAAACAAACCAUUUUUCCCCCUAAGUACGGGCGACAAAAAAGGACCCAGGAGCAAUAGAAAAAGUACCGCAAGGGAAAGCUGAAAGAGUAAUGAAACAACCCAGUUAAGUAGUAAAAAGCAGAGACUUCUUCUCGUACCUUUUGCAUCAUGGAUUAGCUAGAAUAUUUUAAGCAAAAAGAAUUAUAGUUUAACACCCCGAAACUAGACGAGCUACUCCAAGACAGUCUAACUUAUAGGACCCCCCCGUCUCUGUGGCAAAAGAGUGGGAAGAGCUUUGAGUAGAGGUGAAAGACCUACCGAGCCUAGUUAUAGCUGGUUGCCUGAGAAAUGAAUAGAAGUUCAGCCCCUUAAGUUCUCAACCCCCUUUUGGCUUAAAGGCCUUUACGCCGAACAAGAGAAAUCAAGGAAGUUAGUCAAAGGGGGUACAGCCCCUUUGAUAUAAGACACAACUUUUCCAGGAGGGUAAGGAUCAUAAGCAAAUUAAAGGUUAAAUACCCUAGUGGGCUUAAAAGCAGCCAUCUACCCAGAAAGCGUUAAAGCUCAAGCAUAGACUAACCCCUUCAAAUAAGGACAAUAUAAUCUCACCCCCCUAAUAUCUACCAGGCCGCCCCAUAAAAAAUAUGGGAGUGUACAUGCUAAUAUGAGUAAUAAGAGAAACACCCCUUCUCUCCCCGCACAAGUGUAAAUCGGAACGAACCCCCACCGAACAUUAACGGCCCCAAAACAAAGAGGGGACUAAACAAGAAAUAAAUAACUAGAAAAUCACCUAACACCCCACCGUUAACCCUACACUUGGUGUGCCAACCGGGAAAGACUAAAGGAAAAAGAAGGAACUCGGCAAAUACAAGCCUCGCCUGUUUACCAAAAACACCGCCUCUUGUACACCAAAAAUAAGAGGUCCCGCCUGCCCUGUGACUGUAAGUUUAACGGCCGCGGUAUUUUGACCGUGCAAAGGUAGCGCAAUCACUUGUCUUUUAAAUGGAGACCUGUAUGAAUGGCAUAACGAGGGCUUAACUGUCUCCUUUUUUCAGUCAAUAAAAUUGAUCCCCCCGUGAAGAAGCGGGGAUAUACACAUAAGACGAGAAGACCCUGUGGAGCUUCAGACUCCAGAGUAGACCACGUUAAGCACCCCUAAUCUAAAGGGUAAAACUAAAUGGCCCCUACUCUAAUGUCUUUGGUUGGGGCGACCGUGGGGAAACAAAAAACCCCCACAUGGACCAGGAGCACCAGACUCCCACAACCCAGGGCCACAACUCUAAGUAACAGAACCUCUGACCAGCAAGAUCCGGUACAGACCGAUCAACGGACCAAGUUACCCUAGGGAUAACAGCGCAAUCCUCUUUUAGAGACCAUAUCGACAAGAGGGUUUACGACCUCGAUGUUGGAUCAGGACAUCCUAAUGGUGCAGCCGCUAUUAAGGGUUCGUUUGUUCAACGAUUAAAGUCCUACGUGAUCUGAGUUCAGACCGGAGUAAUCCAGGUCAGUUUCUAUCUAUGAUACAACCUUUUCUAGUACGAAAGGACCGAAAAGAAGAGGCCUCUGUUCUAAACACGCCUCCCUCUCACCUAUUGAAAUCAACUAAAAUAGGUAAGAGAGUGUACUUUUCCCACCCAAGAAAAUGGUUU